Molecule: ribosomal RNA, 472 nt
Filed under: uncultured bacterium
Lineage: Bacteria
Description: bacterial SSU rRNA
Rfam family: Bacterial small subunit ribosomal RNA
Source: RNAcentral
UGGGGAAUUGUUCACAAUGGGCGCAAGCCUGAUGACGCAACGCCGCGUGGGGGAUGAAGGUCUUCGGAUCGUAAACCCCUGUCGAAUGGGACGAAAGACUCGCGAGUGAAUACUUCGCGAGAGUGACGGUACCGUUAAAGGAAGCCACGGCUAACUCUGUGCCAGCAGCCGCGGUAAUACAGAGGUGGCAAGCGUUGUUCGGAAUUACUGGGCGUAAAGGGCGCGUAGGCGGCCCUCUAAGUCAGACGUGAAAUCCCCGGCUUAACCUGGGAACUGCGUCUGAUACUGGAGGGCUUGAGUAUGGGAGAGGGAUGUAGAAUUCCAGGUGUAGCGGUGAAAUGCGUAGAUAUCUGGAGGAAUACCGGUGGCGAAGGCGGCAUCCUGGACCAUUACUGACGCUGAGGCGCGAAAGCUAGGGGAGCAAACGGGAUUAGAUACCCUAGUAGUCCCUGAGCGGGCUGGCAAGGCGCAU